AUCAUAUGCUAGUCUCAAAGAUUAAGCCAUGCAAGUGUAAGUACAAGCAAGUUUGUACUGCGAAACUGCGAAUGGCUCAUUAAAACAGUUAUAAUCUAUUUGAUGAUCACUUACUACUAAAUGGAUAACCGUAGUAAAUCUAGAGCUAAUACAUGCGCCAAAUCUCUUGUUUCAAGAGAUGUAUUUAUUAGAUUUAAACCAACUCAGGGAACUUUGUUCGCUGAUGAUUGAUGAAUCACAAUAACUGUUUGGAUUGCAACGGCUCUUCGCCGGCAAUAGAUCAUUCGAAUUUCUGCCCUAUCAGCUUGUUGGUAGGAUAGAGGCCUACCAAUGCAUUAACGGGUAACGGAGAAUUAGGGUUCGAUUCCGGAGAGGGAGCCUGAGAAACGGCUACCACAUCCAAGGAAGGCAGCAGGCGCGCAAAUUACCCAAUCUCGACUUGAGGAGGUAGUGACAAUAAAUAACGACAUAGGCACUUCAUGUGUUUAUGAUUGGAAUGAGUUUAAUUUAAAUCCCUUUUCGAAAGCAACUGGAGGGCAAGUCUGGUGCCAGCAGCCGCGGUAAUACCAGCUCCAGUAGCGUAUUGUAAAGUCGUUGCAGUUAAAAAGCUCGUAGUUGGAUUUCUGGCCAGAAAAGCCUGUUUUCCCCUAAGCGGGCUUGCAAACGGUGCUUUUUGGUCAUCCUUCGUGGCGAACAGUUAGUGUAUUUAUUUAUGCUGGUUGCGAGCCCGAUCAAUUACUUUGAAAAAAUUAGAGUGUUCAAAACAAGCUUACGCGUUUGAAUACCUUAGCAUGGAAUAAUAAGUAGGACUUUGGUUCUAUUUUGUUGGUUCAAGAACCUAGAGUAAUGAUUGAAAGGGAAUUUUGGGGGUGCUUGUAUUCAAUGGCCAGAGGUGAAAUUCGAUGAUUCAUUGAAGACAAACUAAUGCGAAAGCAUUCACCAAGGGUUUCUUCUUUAAUCAAGAACGAAAGUUGGGGGAUCGAAGACGAUCAGAUACCGUUGUAGUCUCAACCAUAAACUAUGCCGACUGGGGAUUGGUCGAAAAUGUUUUGAUUCGAUCAGCACCCUAUGGGAAAUCAAAGUUUUUGGGUUCCGGGGGGAGUAUUAUCGCAAGAUUGAAACUUAAAGGAAUUGACGGAAGUGCACAACAAGGCGUGGAGCCUGCGGCUUAAUUUGACCCAACGCGGGAAAACUUACCAGGUCCAGACAUAGUAAGGAUUGACAGAUUGAAGAUCUUUCUUGAUUCUGUGGAUGGUGGUGCAUGGCCGUUCUUAGUUGGUGGAGUGAUUUGUCUGCUUAAUUGCGAUAACGAACGAGACCUCAGCCUGCUAAUUAGAACAUCUAUACCUACGGGUAUGGUAUGUACUUCUUAGAGGGACUGCUAUUGGUGAGAUAGAGGAAGCGUGAGGCAAUAACAGGUCUGUGAUGCCCUUAGAUGUUCUGGGCCGCACGCGUGCUACACUGGCAGUUUCAACAAGC
Molecule: ribosomal RNA, 1479 nt
Filed under: metagenome
Description: SSU rRNA
Rfam family: Eukaryotic small subunit ribosomal RNA
Source: RNAcentral